Herpailurus yagouaroundi (jaguarundi) is the source of this 266-nucleotide long non-coding RNA. RefSeq lists it as uncharacterized. The record is from RefSeq and is a predicted model, not a curated record. NCBI's taxonomy places the organism in Eukaryota, Metazoa, Chordata, Mammalia, Carnivora, Felidae. The transcript is spliced from 3 exons.
CUCCCCCAUUCAUGCUCUGUCUCUCUCUGUCCCAAAAAUAAAUAAAUAAAAUCCAUUAACUGAUUUUCCAGGAAAACUAUUUCUUGGGCUACCCAAUAGACUAUAAUUCCUCAAGAGCAGAGGCCAUGUUUUCAUUCUCUACAUCUUACCCUAUAUACAUGCUUUAUAGUAAGGACUCAUUACAAAUUCACUGACUCUAAAUAAAAGUUAUUGGCGUGCCUGGGUGGCUUGAUUUCAGCUCAGGUCAUGACCUUACGGUUCAUGAG